Molecule: transfer RNA, 72 nt
Filed under: Pangasius djambal
Lineage: Eukaryota; Metazoa; Chordata; Actinopteri; Siluriformes; Pangasiidae
Description: tRNA-Glu
Rfam family: tRNA
About the family: Transfer RNA (tRNA) molecules are approximately 80 nucleotides in length. Their secondary structure includes four short double-helical elements and three loops (D, anti-codon, and T loops).
Source: RNAcentral
UCCCUGGAGGACUAGAGGUUAGGCCUCGGCGCUCUCGACGCUGUGGCCCGGGUUCGAUUCCCGGCCAGAGAA